CACAUUACCAAUCCUCCGUGAGCUGCAGCUUCUGCAUCCGUAAAAUGGAGAAAAUAACAACCAUACCUACCACACAGGGUUCUUAAAGAAAGUCUUCUUCUAAGAGUUCGUGCUAGAUCUUAUUGGCCUCCAGAUAUCCACGACCGGAAGGAACCCUCUCCAUUUAAGACAAGAAUUCUUUUUCCUUUGGGAAGGCCAAGUGAAGCAAAUGGUGAUCCCAGGCAGUGAUAUCUGCAACCCAGAGGCUUAAUCCUGACGAGGCUGAUGAAUGUGUGUGUCGAGCUGCUCCUGGCAAACACAGCACCUAUCAGAUAUCACAGCAAAACAACAACAACGACAAAAACAGCUGUUCUUUGGAGUCAGUUUGUUCCUCGUAGGAGGGGUCUAGGUGGAAGGGGCUGACUUUCAAGCCGAGGCAGUGACUUCUGGGUCAGAUGUGUGUCUGGGACACAGGGAUGGGGACAGGAAUGUGUCUGGGAGGGUGGGCAGGGCUUGAUGUCUUUGGAACCAAGCUCCAGAAGGGCAAGGCACCCUCCUGGGGUUAUGACUGGGCCUGGUGAUGGCAACGAGGAAGGGUGUGUUUGCCAUUGAAGUAUUUAAGCAUUGUCUCACCAGUCAGAAAACAAGACUGGCUUGUUGCUUCAUCCUAGCCCAGGGCCCUUCAAACUCAGAUCUCAGCAUGACCCACUCAGGGAACUGUUCUGAAUUUCUCAGUAGGCGACGUCCAGCCCAACUAGCAAGUCUCCCAACCGUAUUACUGAUUUUGAGAAUUAAAAAAAAAAGUUUCUCUUUAUUUUUGGCAGUUGAAUUUGGAUUUCAUUACAAUGAUCGACUUGAAAUACGUGCCUGAGUGUGGCUCUUGUACCACCUACAGCAGAAUCGCCUCAGGGGAGGGGCGUUGAAAAAUGCAUACUUUCCCCAGUCCCAUACCAGACACACGGAAUGUCUAUUAAAAAUGUUUAAAAAGAUCCUCCAGGGUGAGGCUGAGAAUGUGUCUUUGUAAGCCAAUUUCUGGGACUGGACGGGAACAGAUUUGCCUGACUGCCCGCUAAACCCAAAUCUGAGUUAAUUUGUCGAGCGGGGAGACCCUUGGUUCUAGGAGACUCAGUUUCUCCUUCUGACAGAGGCAGGUUCUGUCCCCACCUGUUGCUAGGCUGCAGGAAGAGGAAAUUAAUAAAUGCAAAGUGCUGGGGAGAGCGCUGCUGCCAGGCUGGGAGAGAAGAGAAGCUCUUACCUCUCCCACACCAGGCUCUCCCUGGUAACCCCGCAGCCGCCCCUCUCCACAGCCCCAUGGGCGGCGGCCCCUUU
Molecule: long non-coding RNA, 1308 nt
Organism: Balaenoptera musculus (blue whale)
Lineage: Eukaryota; Metazoa; Chordata; Mammalia; Artiodactyla; Balaenopteridae
Exons: 3
Source: RefSeq, a predicted model, not a curated record